Molecule: long non-coding RNA, 1323 nt
Filed under: Gouania willdenowi (blunt-snouted clingfish)
Lineage: Eukaryota; Metazoa; Chordata; Actinopteri; Blenniiformes; Gobiesocidae
Description: lncRNA (ENSGWIG00000017809.1)
Source: RNAcentral
GGUUGGUUCACAUAUUUGGGCCUCUCCGGUGGGGGCCUGGCCCCUCUGUUGGUGGCUGGGCCACUGCAUAGAGUAAAAAUACAUCAGGAUGGUGUGGUCGGGCGUGGCGGUGGGUCACGGGGGGGUUUUGCUGGGGUCUCUCCUUGCGGGGUCUUUCCGGGCGGUGUCGGCCUGGUCGGGCGCGGGGGCGCUUCCUCCCCUUGGGUGUGGCUUGGUGCUUGUUUCGUCGGCUGGUGGCCUUGGGGGCGGGCCCCGCGGUGUGCGGGCCCGGGGCGGCCUGCCUCGCCGGUUUGGGGGGUGGGUGUGCUGGGGGUGUGCUGGUGUCCUCACCGGGGUUGGGGCGGGGUUGCUUGGUGCCUCGGAGCGAUGCUGUUUACUGGGGGGCGGCGCUAGCUGUUCCGGUGGUGGAGGUUGCUGUCGGCCGCCUGGUGGGUCUGUCCUGCCAUCUGCGGACUGGUGGGUGGGUCCGGGGCAUCUUUGGCUCGGGGCUGCGGUUCCGCACUUGAUGUGUGCCAUUGGGGUGCCUCCGUCCCCGCGGUGGGGAUCGCCGGUUGCUCGCGGGCCGGUGGGGGGCGCUGCUCCGUGGCUGGCGCUGCCCGGGGGGCGGCGGGCCCUGGGCUGCUGGCCUUGGGCUGUCCGGGGCUGUGCGGUCCUGCUGGGCUGUGGCCGGGUCCUGGGCGGGGGUGGGGGGUGCGUCCCGGGGUCCUUGGCUCCUUGGGGCUUUCUCGGGUGUGUAUGGGGGGGGCGAUGGUUGCCUCUUGGCUUGGGAUCUUGGGGGCGUUCGGGGGGCUGCUUGGCCGUGGGGUGGUCGCCGGGGGCCCCCGGAUUGCCCGCUCUUGCUGCUGGCCUGGCUGCUUCUUCGGGCCCGGGGGCGGCUCGUGGGUUUUGCAGUGGCGGUUCUUGGAAAUACAUUUGUCAUGGAUGCACUGGCCUUGGGCUGUGGGAUAACACUCAUACUGGGCUCAACCACAGACACGUUGUUCCCAAAUACCUGUUUUAUAGAAUUUCCACUCACUUCUUCCUCUGUUCACAGCCACCACCAUUAUUCCUAAGCCGCACACUGGUCACCAAACUGGCUUGAUAACUCAACAAUAAGCACAAUAUACACAACCACAAUUUCACAUCGCAUCACUUGAAACCUAUCGACUACUCCCCGCCCAUUCCAUUUCCUAUCUUGUAUCCCUCUUCCCUGUUAACUUCCCCACCCCCCUCCAACCCCUCACCUUGGUGUAACACUGCCCUCUCUUUUUUUACAUCCUCCCUUUAAUAAAGUAUUUCUUACCCUUCCCUAGGGAGGGCUGGUGAUGGUCACAGUUAUGCAAU